Molecule: transfer RNA, 101 nt
Filed under: Sinosporangium siamense
Lineage: Bacteria; Bacillati; Actinomycetota; Actinomycetes; Streptosporangiales; Streptosporangiaceae
Description: tRNA-Asp
Source: RNAcentral
GGUGGUAGUAGGGGGGCAGGUCGCCUUCGAGGUCCUUGUCGGGGAUCUCGAGGUAGAGCCGGUCGCGGAACUCCUUGAGCUCGGCCUUCGACAGCUUCUUC